CAUUUUAGUGCACACAGCCAGGGCAUCUAGAGCAGAUUCUAGUUUUUGCAGUUUUGCUAAAGCCCAAUACCCAUUUGUGCUGGUAGCUGUGGUAGUGAUGAUGCAGAAGGGAACAUGUUCAUCCUCACAAAAUGCUCCCCAAGGUAGCAACCCAGAGUCUAGCACUAGGUUUGUGCUUUGAACUCAUCUAAGACAGAGCAUGUCCAAAGAGUCAUAAUUGCAGGGUGACAAGAUUGGAGGUCAGUGCUCUAUUUUCCAGCUAAAUAAGGGAAUGAGAAGUUGAGAGUUGAUACCUCCCUCUCCUCUCCCUCACUUGCAAGCACUUUGCACUUCCUUGCUAAGGCCUCAGGCUCCAGAGGGGCCCAGGAAGGUCUUAGAACCCAGCAAAGAGAGCUGAGUUUUCCUAUGGCACCCAAUAAGGUCUCAAGGAAGAAGGGAGGGAUGGGAGUGGCCCAAUCCUUAAUAACGUUCCUGCGGAUCUUUGUUUUCCUAAAGACUGGCUUGCAGACCGCAAGUAUGACUCCACUAGCAGCGAUGACGACGACAAUCCAGCUGUCUACACUCUUUGAGGAGGAGGAGUCUGUUUACAUCAACCUUCUUUUCUGGGAAUGCACAGAAGAAAUCAAUGAUGUAAAAAGAGAGGAAGAAGAGGAAGAAGAAAUGAAGUUCAGCAUUCAUGAGGAGCUUGCUGGAGUGCCUGCAACUGUGUGUGAAUAUGGACGUGGAGAUAGGAAUCUGAUGGGGAAAUGAGCACAGGCAAGUGAAGGGUGCCCUGAGAACCUCUCCCCGUGAGUAGAAGUGCUUUCCAUGUUAACCCUAAAGCUGAUCAGCUAUGCCAUCCCUUGGCUCCUUAAUUUGUAGGAGAGGACUCUAGCCCUCUUCAGGACCAAAGUUUGCCCUCCCAAUCCACCUAAGGCCUGCCAAAUCCUCCUGUCU
RNAcentral lists this long non-coding RNA (936 nucleotides) under Dasypus novemcinctus (nine-banded armadillo). Its description in RNAcentral is "lncRNA (ENSDNOG00000051357.1)". Lineage: Eukaryota; Metazoa; Chordata; Mammalia; Cingulata; Dasypodidae. The record is from RNAcentral.